CGGGGUGAGUAACGCGUGGAUAACCUGCCUCACACUGGGGGAUAACAGUUAGAAAUGACUGCUAAUACCGCAUAAGCGCUCAGUACCGCAUGGUACAGUGUGAAAAACUCCGGUGGUGUGAGAUGGAUCCGCGUCUGAUUAGCCAGUUGGCGGGUAACGGCCCACCAAAGCGACGAUCAGUAGCCGACCUGAGAGGGUGACCGGCCACAUUGGGACUGAGACACGGCCCAA
This 231-nucleotide ribosomal RNA is filed under the name uncultured bacterium. RNAcentral describes it as "partial 16S ribosomal RNA". It matches the Rfam family "Bacterial small subunit ribosomal RNA", at positions 104 to 334 of the family's 1533-position model. The record is from RNAcentral.